Molecule: ribosomal RNA, 332 nt
Filed under: uncultured bacterium
Lineage: Bacteria
Description: bacterial SSU rRNA
Rfam family: Bacterial small subunit ribosomal RNA
Source: RNAcentral
CGCGUAGGCGGCUCUUGUUUGUCGCGUGUGAAAGCCCCGGGCUCAACCUGGGAGGUGCGCGCGAGACAGCGGGGCUGGAGUUCGGGAGAGGAGCGUGGAAUUCCCAGUGUAGAGGUGAAAUUCGUAGAUAUUGGGAAGAACACCGGUGGCGAAGGCGGCGCUCUGGACCGAGACUGACGCUGAGGCGCGAAAGCGUGGGGAGCAAACAGGAUUAGAUACCCUGGUAGUCCACGCUGUAAACGAUGUGUGCUAGACGUUGGGAGGCCUAGCCUCUCGGUGUCGCAGCCAACGCGGUAAGCACACCGCCUGGGGAGUACGGCCGCAAGGUUAAA